GACGAACGCUGGCGGCGUGCUUAACACAUGCCAGUCGAACGGAAAGGCCCCUUUGGGGGUACUCGAGUGGCGAACGGGUGAGUAACACGUGAGUAACCUGCCCUUGACUUCGGGAUAACUUCAGGAAACUGGGGCUAAUACCGGAUAGGAAUCCUUGCUGCAUGGUGGGGGUUGGAAAGCUUCGGCGGUUUUGGAUGGACUCGCGGCUUAUCAGCUUGUUGGUGGGGUAGUGGCUUACCAAGGCUUUGACGGGUAGCCGGCCUGAGAGGGCGACCGGCCACAUUGGGACUGAGAUACGGCCCAGACUCCUACGGGAGGCAGCAGUGGGGAAUAUUGCACAAUGGGCGGAAGUCUGAUGCAGCAACGCCGCGUGCGGGAUGACGGCCUUCGGGUUGUAAACCGCUUUCAGCAGGGGCGAAGCUUGUGGUGACGGUACCUGCAGAAGAAGCACCGGCUAACUACGUG
Molecule: ribosomal RNA, 465 nt
Filed under: uncultured bacterium
Lineage: Bacteria
Description: partial 16S ribosomal RNA
Rfam family: Bacterial small subunit ribosomal RNA
Source: RNAcentral